This 477-nucleotide ribosomal RNA is filed under the name uncultured bacterium. RNAcentral describes it as "partial 16S ribosomal RNA". It matches the Rfam family "Bacterial small subunit ribosomal RNA", at positions 30 to 507 of the family's 1533-position model. The record is from RNAcentral.
AUUGAACGCUGGCGGCAUGCCUUACACAUGCCAGUCGAACGGUAACAGGUUAAGCUGCCGAGUGGCGAACGGGUGAGUAAUGUAUCGGAACGUGCUCAGUCGUGGGGGAUAACUGCUCGAAAGAGCAGCUAAUACCGCAUACGACCUGAGGGUGAAAGCGGGGGCUCGCAAGACCUCGCGCGAUUGGAGCGGCCGAUAUCCGAUUAGGUAGUUGGUGAGGUAAAGGCUCACCAAGCCGACGAUCUGUAGCUGGUCUGAGAGGACGACCAGCCACACUGGGACUGAGACACGGCCCAGACUCCUACGGGAGGCAGCAGUAGGGAAUUUUGGACAAUGGGCGCAAGCCUGAUCCAGCCAUGCCGCGUGCGGGAAGAAGGCCUUCGGGUUGUAAAACGCUUUUGUCAGGGAAGAAAAGGUUCUGGCUAAUACCUGGGACUCAUGACGGUACCUGAAGAAUAAGCACCGGCUAACUACGUG